GACGAACGCUGGCGGCGUGCUUAACACAUGCAAGUCGAGCGGAGCGGCGAACGGGUGAGUAACGCGUGAGUAACUGCCCCCCUCUCUGGGUUAACAGUUGGAAACGGCUGCUAAUACCGGAUAGUGGGGGAUGACUCGUGUCCUAUGAGCUUGUUGGUGGGGUAGUGGUCUACCAAGGGGACGACGGGUAGCCGGCCUGAGGGGGCGACCGGCCACAUGAGGCUGAGGUACGGACCAGACGCCAACGGGAGGCAACGGUGGAGAGUAUUGCGCAGUGGCGGAGACCCUGAGGCGGCAGCGCCGGGGGCGGGAAGACGGGCUUCUGGUUGUAAACCGCUAUCAGCGAUGACGCGGUAGUGGCAGAAGAAGCACCGGCUAACUACGUGCCAGCAGCCGCGGUAAUAC
Molecule: ribosomal RNA, 405 nt
Filed under: uncultured bacterium
Lineage: Bacteria
Description: partial 16S ribosomal RNA
Rfam family: Bacterial small subunit ribosomal RNA
Source: RNAcentral